Anopheles nili is the source of this 201-nucleotide small nucleolar RNA. RefSeq annotates it as small nucleolar RNA U3. The record is from RefSeq and is a predicted model, not a curated record. NCBI's taxonomy places the organism in Eukaryota, Metazoa, Arthropoda, Insecta, Diptera, Culicidae. The transcript has a single exon.
AAGACUGUGCUUCAUAGGAUCAUUUCUAUAGGCAAGUUUUCAUAGCUACUUUCUCAAAAGUAGAGCUGAACUAACCCACGAUGAUGAGUCGUAGUGGCUGUCCUGGAGCGUGAAGUUGCCGGAUCUCGGCUGUGCCUCUGGUGCGUCGAUCUGUGCUUGAUGAUCGUAUCCUUUAAAAAGGACAGACACAUUCUGAGUGGU